GCCGGCUCCUCUCACGGUUGCCAGGCUGAGGCUGCCCUUCGCCUUGCCCUUGUACUCCACAACGUAGCCACCCACCUCUCCAGUUCCCUGGGUUCAAAAGAUCACCACAAAAAGAAAAUAUUUACCAAAACUCCAAAAAGUGAACAUGUGAGGGAAGUGGUGAGCACCUGAGUGCUGCUGAACCAUGGCCUCCAUUUUGCAGCAACUGGGAGCUGGAGCUGGUUGACAGAGUAUCUGCUGGAAGUGACCGGCACUCUCCCAUCGGUGUCACCGCUGCAAAAACAUCAGUGACAUCUUGCUGAAUAUACAACUUCCCAUCCACACAGUUCAAUUUCCAAUCCGAGUCGUUGCAUCAGUGAAACAACUGAAGCAUCUGAAAGCUGUUACCCAUACCUGUACACCCAGACCCUGAUGUUGUUGUUCAGGAGCUCCGUGAUGAUAGGCAAGACCGUUGUGGCGCUGUCUGUCCAGCGCCUCAAGACCUCACUGAAAAAAGAUUUAUCAUAUUUUCGUAAAAUAUAAAUACACACACACGCCACGUUUUGAAGAUAAUAUUUGAUCCCAUUUGUUUUGUCGUAGAUGACUGCGUUUGCACAUGGGCCCAAUAAUUUCUUGCAGGACGGGCUGGAAGCAAGUGGACCAAUCAUCAUAGACUUCCAAGGUCCAUGCCUAGAGCUGCAACAAUUAAGGUCGAUGUGGAGUACGCUGCUCCAUGCAUCUAAAAGAAUCGAAAUCCCAAAGAACAUGGAGAAAAUGCGGGUUCGUCGUCAUGUGUGCGUUGGACAACGCCAUGACAUGAAUGAAAACCACGAAGGUGUUGAUAUCGGAUCUUGUUAGGAACCACCAAGGUCAAAUCUGAAACCCUAAACUAGUACUGACCAUGUGAUCCUUGCCUUCACAUUUAAUUUGUUAAACAUAUAAAACUUGCAGGGAAGCGAUCGCUACAGGAGCUGGAGCAGCAGGCGAUUUCUGCACGCUUGGCCAACUCACCGGAGCAAGUUUCGCGUGCAGUUGGGUGGAAGUUCGAAGGCAUCGGGCAAUAAUCGAGCAUGUAACCACCUACCUUUUUGCGUUGUUCCUGUGCUGCCCCUACCGUACGUAAUAGCGCCGCAUUAUCAUACUGUUACCAACAAAAAAAAUUCAGGGUAGCUAGAUGAACACUUUUUUCGUGCCUGUUUUUGGCACGGAACUAAUUAAUCCCUAUUAUCGGUGCCAUAA
This is a long non-coding RNA of Panicum virgatum (switchgrass), 1218 nucleotides long. RefSeq lists it as uncharacterized. The record is from RefSeq and is a predicted model, not a curated record. The transcript has 2 exons. Lineage: Eukaryota; Viridiplantae; Streptophyta; Magnoliopsida; Poales; Poaceae.